UUGUGACUUUGUUAAAUCUGUCUCAAAUAUAGUGUAGUUGAAAAUGAUAAUUUCUUAUUUUGUUCUUUUCGGAUGAAGAUAUUGUGCUCACCCUUGUGAUUUAAUUUUUGGCAAGUUAUUAUUUUCUCUCAUACGUAGUACUCACGGUGAUUGAAUCUAUAUGAUGUUUUUAAAUAUUAUAAUUUCAUUGAAUUUGGAAUAUAUGUAAUUUGCCAAAUGAAGCUAUGUGUGAAUACUAUGGUUAUCCUUGUAAUUAAAAUUGUUUAUUAAGGCAUGUUAUUUUGUGUCCUUUGAGAAAUAUUGCUGUGAAUGAAAAUUUUGUUUUCAGAACUAUCAUUUACGUUAAUCAUUGAUAUUCUUAAUCAAAUAUAGUUUGUGAUGGAAAUAUGAAAUACCAUUGUUUGUUGAUAAACAUGUUGGAUGUUGCUAUAAUUGUAUUUGUCUUUAUCUAUGGUCUAUGGUAGCUUUGCUUGAUUCAUUUGAUUCUCACUGUCCUGUGAAUUAGUUUUUGUUUAACUAUUGAUGGAGACUAUAAAAUAUUAUAAUUAGAUAACAUGACUUCCAGUUUCCUUUGUAAAUAUGAUGAUACACAUAUUUUAGAGUAAAUUAAAUGAAAAUAAUUUACAAUAUGGCAAGAUGUUAUCAGUAUGA
Molecule: long non-coding RNA, 651 nt
Filed under: Trifolium pratense (red clover)
Lineage: Eukaryota; Viridiplantae; Streptophyta; Magnoliopsida; Fabales; Fabaceae
Description: long non-coding RNA (TPRA_LNC012303)
Source: RNAcentral